This is a long non-coding RNA of Cebus imitator (Panamanian white-faced capuchin), 109 nucleotides long. RefSeq lists it as uncharacterized. Lineage: Eukaryota; Metazoa; Chordata; Mammalia; Primates; Cebidae. The record is from RefSeq and is a predicted model, not a curated record. The transcript has 3 exons.
AUAUAUGCCCGUAGAUACUUCUCUCCCCUCAAAUAUUUGUAUCUCAAAAAAGGAGGUGCAAGAGUAUAUAAAGAUAAAUUUUCUUGUUGUUAUAGUACAAACACCAUGU